UGGGGAAUAUUGGACAAUGGGCGCAAGCCUGAUCCAGCCAUGCCGCGUGAGUGAUGAAGGCCCUAGGGUUGUAAAGCUCUUUCACCGGUGAAGAUAAUGACGGUAACCGGAGAAGAAGCCCCGGCUAACUUCGUGCCAGCAGCCGCGGUAAUACGAAGGGGGCUAGCGUUGUUCGGAUUUACUGGGCGUAAAGCGCACGUAGGCGGACUAUUAAGUCAGGGGUGAAAUCCCGGGGCUCAACCCCGGAACUGCCUUUGAUACGGGUAGUCUUGAGUUCGAGAGAGGUGAGUGGAAUUCCGGGUGUAGAGGUGAAAUUCGUAGAAAUUCGGAGGAACACCAGUGGGGAAGGCGGCUCACUGGCUCGAUACUGACGCUGAGGUGCGAAAGCGGGGGGAGCAAACAGG
This 404-nucleotide ribosomal RNA is filed under the name Actinomycetes bacterium. RNAcentral describes it as "Actinobacteria bacterium partial 16S ribosomal RNA". It matches the Rfam family "Bacterial small subunit ribosomal RNA", at positions 355 to 776 of the family's 1533-position model. The record is from RNAcentral. Lineage: Bacteria; Bacillati; Actinomycetota; Actinomycetes.